AGUACGUGAAACUGCUUAGAGGUUAAACCCGAUGAACCUGAAUAUCCAUUAUGGAAAAUUCAUCACUAAUAAUAUAAUAUGAAAAAAAUAUUUUAAAAAUAGUGUGCAAUUUUUCCAUAUAAGGACAUUGUAAUCUGUUAAUGUUAUAAAUAUUUAUCAUAAGAUCCAUUACACUAGUUUAUUCAAAUUGAUUAUUUUUCGGAUAAUUAACAUAGAAUAAAUGUUUUGGAUUUGAUAAAUCAUUGACAGAUAUAAUUAUAUAAUGUGCUUAAAUUUUUCGGAAUUUUAUCAAUGGUAGUAAAUAUUUUAUUUUCUAUUUAAUUGAUAUGCACUAUUAUGAUUAACAAUGCGAGAGAUUCAGGAUACCUUCGGGACCCGUCUUGAAACACGGACCAAGGAGUCUAACAUAUGUGCAAGUCAUUGGGUAUUUUUAAUAAAACCCAAUGGCGUAAUUAACUUAACUGCUAAUUAAUGGGAUUAAUUUAUAUUUUGUUAUGAAAUAUUUAUUCAAUCCCGGGGCGUUCUAUAUAGUUAUGUAUAAUAAUAUUUAUAUUAUUUAUACCUCUAACUUGAGC
This 575-nucleotide ribosomal RNA is filed under the name Pseudodoros nigricollis. Its description in RNAcentral is "eukaryotic LSU rRNA". The record is from RNAcentral. Lineage: Eukaryota; Metazoa; Arthropoda; Insecta; Diptera; Syrphidae.